UCUCAUGGGACGUACAACGGCGGGCUUCUGUCAACUGAAGCUGGUACUCUUGCCCGAGUGGUCGCAGACGGAACAAUCACCCUAGCCGGGUACCUGGGGGAGAGCAAGCUCUUGAAUGCCACCCUUCUUCCAUCCCUCCUGAUUUGUGUAGCGUCUAUCAUCGCCACCUGCAGCACUUACAAUUCUCUCUACUGAUUCCGACUCUAAUCUUCCUGUCCUAAACUUCGAACUGAUCGGCAUUUUUGUGCAUUCUUUCUCGUUUAUCGAAGCUUUAGUCCCGGCUUGUAUGUGAGUGCUUUAAAUUACAUAGGCAAUACAUGCUUCUCAUAGCUCCCAAUAUAUUUCAAGCUCUUUAAUGAUACAUGUACAGCAAAUACUACUUUCAACAUAACUUUCUUGGAAUUCUGUUAAUUGGAUUGAAGUGGUAUGGAUAUUGUUCUGUAUUUUGGCCUCUAAAGCUUAUGUUGCAGAUAUGACGGUCGAUGUGUAAAUCUAUGUUGGACCACCCAUGGUGGUGCGUAGGGCUAUCAAUGGAUUGAAUUUUGAUUCGAAUUCAAUCUGAAUGAGAUGAAAUUAAUGGGAUAUAGAUUUAGGGUCUCAAUUCGAUAACUCAAUCAAGAUUCGAAUUCGAUAAUCCGUUAACAAAAAUGAUCAAAUAUGGUUAUAUGGAUAUAGGUCAAUCUGUUAACUUUCUUGGAGUUUUGUUUAGUAAUUGGAUUGAAGUGGUAUGGAUAUUGUUAUGUAUUUUGGCCUCUGAAGCUUAUACGUUGCAGAUACGAGGUCGAUGUCUAAAUCUAUGUUGGACAGUCCAUGGUGGUGCGGCCGACAUGGAUUUGGCACAGUCGAGGCACGCGCUAGGGCCGGCCAGAGCUAGAGAAUGUGCUUUACGAGGCAAGCUUUACGUGAGAAUAAAAAUAAAGAAGAUGAGCGCUCGAAAAAUUUGAAUCGUUGUUGAGAUUGUUGAGUGCAAAAAUGUGACAUUCUAUGUGAUACAUGAAUACUCGACUAUUUUAAAUUGUUUUAAAGUUUAUUGAGUUAAUAUUUCUGUAUAGUCGAUGUUGAUCGUCUUUCAGUAUAACGUUAAUUAUCUACAAGGUAUCGUGCAAUUAAAAUCUAAAUAGGCAAUGAUAAUCAUAUUAUCAUAUCAAUUAGUCAUUUUAGUUGCGUACCAUUAAUGUACUGAAUACGUAGGUUGCCUUCAAAAUCCAACCUAGAUGAAUUUAUGAUCUUAUUGGGUCCCAAAAUUAAAUAAAUACAAUUUAAUUCUAGUGGUUGAAUAUCGCUAAAUUCUACUUAUGUCCACCUGAUUGCCAGCAGAUUCAAUUAAAAUUGUUGGGAGAAAAAAAAAAAAAAAAAAAGCAAAAAAAAAAUAGUGGGUUCAAAAAUUCAGGUGAUGUUACUUGGAGGUAGGAAGUAGAAUAGGGAUUAUGAGUUCAAAAUCUAAAACUACAAGUUAAAGCAACAAUAGUUGACCAUAAGAUUAUAGUAUUCAUUUAAUUAUACAAGGUUCGAUUCUUGAAAUUGAUGAUCUAAAUACAUUUAUUUGGGCAGUGGGAUUGGUUGUAUAAUGUCUCGAUACUUUUGAAUUUCAUGACAUGAUAUACUCAUCAUUCCGGGGGUCAGUUUGUCACUCGUCUCCCCCAUGUAAAGUUUGGCCGUAAAAUGAUCUUACUGAUGAGUUAUAGGCAAGGUUUGAUUCGUGAAAUUGGUAUGGAAAAAUGACAAAUUGUGAUUGACACUGUAUCUGUAUAUCAAUUUUGAUUUCGUGGUGUCAUCUUUUUUCACUUCAGGGGUCAACUUGUCACUCCUAUCCCGAGUAAUGUCGUUCAGGCUUUCUCAUGGGACGUACAACGGCGGGCUUCUGUCAACUGAAGCUGGUACUCUUGCCCGAGUGGUCGCAGACGGAACAAUCACCCUAGCCGGGUACCUGGGGGAGAGCAAGCUCUUGAAUGCCACCCUUCUUCCAUCCCUCCUGAUUUGUGUAGCGUCUAUCAUCGCCACCUGCAGCACUUACAAUUCUCUCUACUGAUUCCGACUCUAAUCUUCCUGUCCUAAACUUCGAACUGAUCGG
This 2071-nucleotide long non-coding RNA is filed under the name Olea europaea (common olive). Its description in RNAcentral is "long non-coding RNA (OEUR_LNC008658)". The record is from RNAcentral. Lineage: Eukaryota; Viridiplantae; Streptophyta; Magnoliopsida; Lamiales; Oleaceae.